GACGAACGCUGGCGGCGUGCUUAACACAUGCAAGUCGAACGGAAAGGCCCUGCUUUUGUGGGGUGCUCGAGUGGCGAACGGGUGAGUAACACGUGAGUAACCUGCCCUUGACUUUGGGAUAACUUCAGGAAACUGGGGCUAAUACCGGAUAGGAGCUCCUGCUGCAUGGUGGGGGUUGGAAAGUUUCGGCGGUUGGGGAUGGACUCGCGGGUUAUCAGCUUGUUGGUGGGGUAGUGGCUUACCAAGGCUUUGACGGGUAGCCGGCCUGAGAGGGUGACCGGCCACAUUGGGACUGAGAUACGGCCCAGACUCCUAAGGGAGGAAGCAGUGGGGAAUAUUGCACAAUGGGCGGAAGCCUGAUGCAGCAACGCCGCGUGCGGGAUGACGGCCUUCGGGUUGUAAACCGCUUUCGCCUGUGACGAAGCGUGAGUGGCGGUAAUGGGUAAAGAAGCACCGGCUAACUACGUG
This 468-nucleotide ribosomal RNA is filed under the name uncultured bacterium. RNAcentral's name for it is "partial 16S ribosomal RNA". It matches the Rfam family "Bacterial small subunit ribosomal RNA", at positions 28 to 507 of the family's 1533-position model. The record is from RNAcentral.